Molecule: ribosomal RNA, 253 nt
Filed under: uncultured bacterium
Lineage: Bacteria
Description: partial 16S ribosomal RNA
Rfam family: Bacterial small subunit ribosomal RNA
Source: RNAcentral
UACAGAGGUCCCAAGCGUUGUUCGGAUUCAUUGGGCGUAAAGGGUGCGUAGGCGGCGCGGUGAGUCGGGUGUGAAAUCUCGGAGCUUAACUCUGAAACUGCAUUCGAUACUGCCGUGCUUGAGGACUGGAGAGGAGACUGGAAUUUACGGUGUAGCGGUGAAAUGCGUAGAUAUCGUAAGGAAGACCAGUGGCGAAGGCGGGUCUCUGGACAGUUCCUGACACUGAGACACGAAGGCCAGGGGAGCAAACGGG